This 83-nucleotide transfer RNA is filed under the name Caudoviricetes sp. RNAcentral describes it as "tRNA-Ser". It matches the Rfam family "tRNA". From Rfam's summary of the family: Transfer RNA (tRNA) molecules are approximately 80 nucleotides in length. Their secondary structure includes four short double-helical elements and three loops (D, anti-codon, and T loops). Further hydrogen bonds mediate the characteristic L-shaped molecular structure. tRNAs have two regions of fundamental functional importance: the anti-codon, which is responsible for specific mRNA codon recognition, and the 3' end, to which the tRNAs corresponding amino acid is attached (by aminoacyl-tRNA synthetases). tRNAs cope with the degeneracy of the genetic code in two manners: having more than one tRNA (with a specific anti-codon) for a particular amino acid; and 'wobble' base-pairing, i.e. permitting non-standard base-pairing at the 3rd anti-codon position. Lineage: Duplodnaviria; Heunggongvirae; Uroviricota; Caudoviricetes. The record is from RNAcentral.
GCAGAUGUGGUGUAAUGGUAUCACAGUAGCUUGCUAAGCUAUCCGGCAGAAAUGCCGUCAAGGUUCGAAUCCUUGCAUCUGCG